GAUGAACGCUGGCGGCGUGCUUAACACAUGCAAGUCGAACGAACUUUUUCGGAAGUGAGUGGCGGACGGGUGAGUAACGCGUGAGUAUCUGCCCUAAGGUGGGGGACAACCAUUGGAAACGAUGGCUAAUACCCCAUAUGCCGAGAGGUGAAAGGUUAACUGCCUUGGGAUGAGCUCGCGUCUGAUUAGCUAGAUGGUGGGGUAACGGCCUACCAUGGCGACGAUCAGUAGCUGUUCUGAGAGGAUGAUCAGCCACACUGGGACUGAGACACGGCCCAGACUCCUACGGGAGGCAGCAGUGGGGAAUUUUCCGCAAUGGGCGAAAGCCUGACGGAGCAACGCCGCGUGAGGGAGGAAUGUCUUUGGAUUGUAAACCUCUUUUCUCUAGGAAGAUAAUGACGGUACUAGAGGAAUCAGCAUCGGCUAACUCCG
Molecule: ribosomal RNA, 432 nt
Filed under: uncultured cyanobacterium
Lineage: Bacteria; Bacillati; Cyanobacteriota
Description: bacterial SSU rRNA
Rfam family: Bacterial small subunit ribosomal RNA
Source: RNAcentral